UGCGUAGACGGGAAGUCAAGUUAGUUGUGAAAUCCCUCGGCUUAACUGAGGAACUGCAACUGAAACUGAUUUUCUUGAGUACUGGAGAGGAAAGUGGAAUUCCUAGUGUAGCGGUGAAAUGCGUAGAUAUUAGGAGGAACACCAGUUGCGAAGGCGGCUCUCUGGACUGUAACUGACACUGAGGCACGAAAGCGUGGGGAGCAAACA
This 207-nucleotide ribosomal RNA is filed under the name uncultured bacterium. Its description in RNAcentral is "partial 16S ribosomal RNA". It matches the Rfam family "Bacterial small subunit ribosomal RNA", at positions 568 to 774 of the family's 1533-position model. The record is from RNAcentral.